This 390-nucleotide ribosomal RNA is filed under the name Biecheleria sp. RNAcentral describes it as "partial small subunit ribosomal RNA". It matches the Rfam family "Eukaryotic small subunit ribosomal RNA", at positions 582 to 975 of the family's 1831-position model. Lineage: Eukaryota; Dinophyceae; Suessiales; Biecheleriaceae. The record is from RNAcentral.
AUUCCAGCUCCAAUAGCGUAUAUUAAAGUUGUUGCGGUUAAAAAGCUCGUAGUUGGAUUUCUGCCGAGGAUGACCGGUCCGCCCUGUGGGUGUGCAUCUGGCUCAGCCUUGGCAUCUUCCUGAAGAACGUAGCUGCACUUGACUGUGUGGUGCGGUAUUUAGGACAUUUACUUUGAGGAAAUUAGAGUGUUUCAAGCAAGCGCACGCUUUGAAUACAUUAGCAUGGAAUAAUAAGAUAGGACCUCGGUUCUAUUUUGUUAGUUUUCGGAAAUCGAGUUAAUGAUUAACAGGGACAAUUGGGGGCAUUAGUAUUCAGACGACAGAGGUGAAAUUCUUGGACCGUCUGAAGACUGACUACUGCGAAAGCAUUUGCCAAGAGUGUUUUCAUUA